RNAcentral lists this ribosomal RNA (497 nucleotides) under uncultured bacterium. Its description in RNAcentral is "partial 16S ribosomal RNA". It matches the Rfam family "Bacterial small subunit ribosomal RNA", at positions 28 to 507 of the family's 1533-position model. The record is from RNAcentral.
GAUGAACGCUGGCGGCGUGCCUAAUACAUGCAAGUCGAGCGAACAGACGAGGAGCUUGCUCCUCUGACGUUAGCGGCGGACGGGUGAGUAACACGUGGAUAACCUACCUAUAAGACUGGGAUAACUUCGGGAAACCGGAGCUAAUACCGGAUAAUAUAUUGAACCGCAUGGUUCAAUAGUGAAAGACGGUUUUGCUGUCACUUAUAGAUGGAUCCGCGCCGCAUUAGCUAGUUGGUAAGGUAACGGCUUACCAAGGCAACGAUGCGUAGCCGACCUGAGAGGGUGGUCGGCCACACUGGAACUGAGACACGGUCCAGACUCCUACGGGAGGCAGCAGUAGGGAAUCUUCCGCAAUGGGCGAAGGCCUGACGGAGCAACGCCGCGUGAGUGAUGAAGGUCUUCGGAUCGUAAAACUCUGUUAUUAGGGAAGAACAAAUGUGUAAGUAACUAUGCACGUCUUGACGGUACCUAAGCAGAGAGCCACGGCUAACUACGUG